This 257-nucleotide ribosomal RNA is filed under the name uncultured prokaryote. RNAcentral's name for it is "partial 16S ribosomal RNA". It matches the Rfam family "Bacterial small subunit ribosomal RNA", at positions 524 to 776 of the family's 1533-position model. The record is from RNAcentral.
UACAGAGACCUCAAGCGUUAUCCGGAAUCAUUGGGCGUAAAGCGUACCGAUAGGUGGUUUUACAAGUCAGAAGUGAAAUCUCUCAGCUUAACUGGGAGACUGUCUUUUGAAACUGUAAAACUAGAGGGGCAAAGAGGAAGCCGGAACGAACGGUGUAGUAGUGAAAUGCGUUGAUAUCGUUCGGAACACCGAUAGCGUAGGCAGGCUUCUGGGUGCCACCUGACACUGCUAGGACGAAAGCGUGGGGAGCGAAUGGG